This is a long non-coding RNA of Ictalurus punctatus (channel catfish), 640 nucleotides long. NCBI's taxonomy places the organism in Eukaryota, Metazoa, Chordata, Actinopteri, Siluriformes, Ictaluridae. The record is from Ensembl.
GUGUUUGAGAGUAUGUAUGAGUGUGUUUGAGAGUGUGUAUGAGUGUGUGUGAAAGCAUGUAUGAGUUUGUAUGAGAGUGUGUAUGAGACCGUGUGUUAGAGCAUGUGCUAGAGUGUGUAUGAGUGUGCUAGAGUGUGUAUGAGUGUGUGCGAGAGUGUGUAUGAGUGUGCGAGUGUGUGUGCGAGUGUGUGUGCGACCGUGUGUAUGAGCGUGUGUUAGAGCGUGUGUGAGAGCGUGUAUGAGAGUGUGUGUGAGUGUGUAUGAGACCGUGUGUUAGAGCGUGUGUGAGAGUGUGUAUGAGUGUGUGUGAGAGUGUGUAUGAGACCGUGUGUUAGAGUGUGUGUGAGAGUGUGUAUGAGACCGUGUGUUAGUGUGUGUGAGAGUCAUGCACAUCUCCCCCAUCACUCUGCUGUAUCCAAACAAGGCAUGGUUUGUGGCGUGUGGACUCUUCCACCAUCCACCUGUGUGGACUUUGCUCCUAAUCCUCUCUGAUCCUCUCUCUGCGUUGAAUACUUGGACUACUGAGUGUAACUAAUUCUCCCACACGAGGACAUUGUCUCGGCCACUUUCGCCUUUGUCUUCCUCCUCACGGCGUCUUAUUCAGGAGCCGCGUUCGUUAGCCGAACAGUCGGGCCAGGAG